Rana temporaria (common frog) is the source of this 1040-nucleotide long non-coding RNA. RefSeq lists it as uncharacterized. Lineage: Eukaryota; Metazoa; Chordata; Amphibia; Anura; Ranidae. The transcript is spliced from 4 exons. The record is from RefSeq and is a predicted model, not a curated record.
CUCCUCCUCCUCCGCUGUCACUCCUCCUCUGUCAGCUACCCCCAAACAACGCUCCAGCGGGGCUAAUGUCCUGCAGAUGGGUCAUACAGCGCUCUCUCUCUCUCCCCCUCCCCCCCCCAGAGACAGUGAAUGGAGGGCCCCUGGACUGGGACGCUUUUGCAGGAGAAAGCAUAUUACAGACCGCGCCCCCUAUUACAGACCGCGCCCCCUAUUACAGACCGCGCCCCCUAUUACAGACCGCGCCCCCUAACAGGAUCACACACAUCUGUGCAGUGGCUCCUGGAAGGAUAUUAUCGCCAACUAGGAUUUGCCAGUGGAGCAGCUUAUAAAGUGUUCCCCACAAUCCAAUUCAUGGCUGACGUACACCUUUAAGACAUUUGAGCAAGCCAAGAAAUACAUUCCGAUUGAUGAAACCAGACAGCAGCAGAGUCUCAUCUGGUUGGAGAACACGCAGAGGCUAGAAAAUGGCUGCUUUAGACCCCAAGGAAGCUUGUUCACAUUCCAGAACACCAAUAUUCGAACCCUUCUAGUUUGCGUAGUUACUCAUGGCGCCUAUUCCCCCAUAUAAAUGAACUGACACAGAACGACGGCGGUGAGACGAGCUCGCUGCUCGUAGGCUAUUUGACUGCUGUUCAGAUUUUAAAUGUGAGUUUUUCUACUUUAUGUUACCGCAUUGUUCAAUACAUUUUAUACGGUACUACACUAUGGGCCCCCCUCUUUUUGCUGCCACCAUAUACCCUCUGAGACAAGACGGGACAAGUCAGGAGGUGGAAGAUUUGGAGGAAGUGAGCGUUUCCAUACCAUCCAGUGACCUUCCAACAUACUCGCAAGAUCAGGAUACGAACUCUGUGUUUGUGGAGAUAGGUCCACUAUCCACAGCCUCAAUGAUUAUGCCAUUUCUCCGUUAUAUAUUUUUUACAUGCGUUUUUUGAACACUUGAUGAGGAGCCUUCCCCUUUCAACCUAAACUAGUGCGGCUGCACCCUUGAAGAUACACCCUUGGUACUGUAAGCUAUCCGUGCUAUAGCUCUGAGGUUAGCA